CUAGAGGGCGCGAGAGAGAGGCUGUACAGUUACCAUAGCUACCGAAAUUGAAUGAUUAGAAGGCUCAUAAACUUAAGCGCUGCAGUGUGAAAGAAAAAUUCUGGAGUAAACAUGUUAAGAAAAUGUAUUGAAGUAUUAUUUUUUUCUUUUUUAAUGUUUUCUUUAUGUAAAUAAAAUUGUGAUGUCAAGAAAUAGAAUGGUGGUUUUUUUUCUGUAAAAAAGAUUGCCAGCUGAAACAUCACGUUAGAUUCAACUAUGCAUCAGAAAAGGUUCAAAUGUUGUAGAUGCAAUUCCGGCAUGGAAACUUCAUCUUCUUCUACCGGGUCCAUGUGCACCUGAAACGUAGAAUUCUGAAAAUUAAGAUUUGCGCCGGAUGCGAGUAAAAAAUCGACCCCCAAUAUCAAUGACGCCUUUUAGCCGUCAACUCAACAGGAAUUGAUUAAAGUCCAAUGUCUGUGAUCCAGUAAAAUAAUUUGAAAGUUUACUAUUCAAUUUAAUAACAGUUUUUAUUUACUUGACAUAUAAAAAACUGAGUAGUGUUUGCAAUGUACAUCGCAUUGCAAAUUAUUUUAACGUCCCAAGGAAGUUUGAAACAGUAUGCCUUAUGAUAAAAAAAGAAAACAAGGAACCUUAGAAACAAUAGUUGUCGUCUCUCAGGAGCAUUGCGUGCCUUCGUGGUGUAGUGCUCUGCAUGCCGGGAGCGUAUUCCAGAGGUCCGUGGUUCGACUCCUGGCGAAGGCGUUGCUCAUCUUUCCCGCUUGCAAAAAUACCUAAUGACUCUACAGCUUUAAAUGUUUAUUGUUAACUGUUGUAAUAUCUAUUCUUCGUUACAAUAUGAAGAAGACAGGUUGGUGCGAUUCUGUUGGAUUCAAGGUUUGAACGUUUCGUUAAACGUUUAGAUUUGACUUGAUGGUAUAUGGUUCCUUCGAGUGCUCUUGAAUUCGCUGGUAAAUUUAAGAAAUGUUUUUAUCAAGUUAAAUAAUAACUACAUAGUUGAAUUAAAUAAGUAAACUUUUGUUGGUAGCUUUUGAUUUCUGUAAUUCAUUUAAAUAAAAGAGUUUUGU
Long non-coding RNA from Stegodyphus dumicola, 1064 nucleotides. RefSeq lists it as uncharacterized. NCBI's taxonomy places the organism in Eukaryota, Metazoa, Arthropoda, Arachnida, Araneae, Eresidae. The record is from RefSeq and is a predicted model, not a curated record.